Molecule: ribosomal RNA, 391 nt
Filed under: uncultured bacterium
Lineage: Bacteria
Description: bacterial SSU rRNA
Rfam family: Bacterial small subunit ribosomal RNA
Source: RNAcentral
AGAGUUUGAUCCUGGCUCAGAACGAACGCUGGCGGCAGGCCUAAUACAUGCAAGUCGAGCGCCCAGCAAUGGGAGCGGCGGACGGGUGCGUAACACGUGGGAACGUACCCUUCGGUUCGGAAUAACUCAGGGAAACUUGAGCUAAUACCGAUUACGCCCGAAAGGGGAAAGAUUUAUCGCCGAAGGAUCGGCCCGCGUUCGAUUAGCUAGUUGGUGGGGUAAUGGCUCACCAAGGCAACGAUCGAUAGCUGGUUUGAGAGAACGACCAGCCACACUGGGACUGAGACACGGCCCAGACUCCUACGGGAGGCAGCAGUAGGGAAUCUUGGACAAUGGGGGAAACCCUGAUCCAGCCAUGCCGCGUGAGUGAUGAAGGCCUUCGGGUUGUAAA